Long non-coding RNA from Hippoglossus stenolepis (Pacific halibut), 1919 nucleotides. RefSeq lists it as uncharacterized. NCBI's taxonomy places the organism in Eukaryota, Metazoa, Chordata, Actinopteri, Pleuronectiformes, Pleuronectidae. The transcript has 4 exons. The record is from RefSeq and is a predicted model, not a curated record.
AGAUAAUGGAGUAUAGAUGGAUCAGAUGGAUGAAUUUUACUGUUAGGACAAACUGCUCCUUUUUGGCCCCACUAGUGGGACAUUCCAGAUGUUCCUGUCAUCACCAACUGGAACAAAGAACAAGUCCACUGUUUCAGAGGUGAUACACUCUGGCUCUGUAUGUGUGCUCUGAGUCUGAGGACACACAUUUUGAUCCUGAGGUCAUCUUACUGAAGGGGCUGGAUGCUCGCUGGUUGGAUAUCCCCAUUCGAAAAACAAAAGAGGUGGGAACAUGACGUAUGACAUCUGCCACAUGACUGACUGACCUGGAAGAGGAUCCUUCUGCUGCUUUUCAAAUCCAAAUCAUGGGUUUAUAGAUCAGGUUAUAUGACCUCUGACACCACCACCUGUCCGUGAGGACGCAGACACCAAGUAACAGUGAGUCCAGAUGAAAGGUAGAUCACAAAAAACCAAAACAAAUACACUGGCAGACUUACUGUAAAUUCUGUGUGAUUUAGGAAAGAGAAAGGUUUAUGUUCCUACAGAAAGAAAAUUUGACACACUCCAUAAAUUUGCUUAAAUGUUCAAUAAAAUAAGAUUUUUUAAGACUAUUCAAAUAACAAAAAUGUAUUUAUAUCUAUAUUAAAAAACCAAACAGUCUUGGACAAUGUUAAAACCAUCUUGAUCUUUGUGAAUAAACUAUGAUGUCUGUUAGACUACAGCCAUACUACAGGCUGGGCUGACCAAGAGUGAAGGGAUAACCAAAGAUUAAUCUUCCGGGGAUCAAUAAGCUGUGCACAAAGUUUCAUAGUAGUCCAUCAAGUAGGUUCCAAGACAUUUCAGCCUGGAGGAAAGUGGUCAAGAUGAUAGGAGAUAAACAAUACCUACUUCGAUGACACCGACACACAAGCAGUAUGGAGACAUGUUAUGUUUUUUUUCGGUUUUUCGUCUGAAGAAGUGGUCCCCACUUAGUUCAAUUGUAUUGGAUUUGGCUGCAAGACUAUUUACCCCUGAGAGACGCCUUAAGUAUUUUGUUGACUCAAACACUUCACCCACCACUCCAAAAAAAAAAAAAAUCAGUUUCAUAAUGAAUAUCUGGGGGGAAAAAUAUAGUAUAUAUGGUGUAUGUUAUAUUAUAUAUUACAUAGUAGCCUAUUGUGUUGGAGAGAGCCACAUGUCUAAAGGUUUAGUGUUACACAUUCACCCACAUCACUACCACAUGUUUAGUUACUUUAAUUUGCAGUCACUUAAGAUCACAAAACAGUUCAGGUUUCGAAUACGUUCACUAGCACCUUUACAACAAAUUGUUUUCAACAUUAAUCACACAUGUAGUUAAUCUUAUUUUUAAUGGAUAGUUUAAAUAGGGGGGGAUAGGGGGGGAUCUUUGAGAUUUAGUUACUGUUUCUGUUCUUGUCAGGUUCGAUGAAGCAGGUGGACCCAGGAUGCAGAGUUUAAACAAAAAGUGUCCUUUUAAUAGGUGAAUGUCCAACAGGAACUAAACAACAAACAAAGGAAUCUCGAAAUGUCAAAACAGAAAAAAACAAAAGCACAUAGGGGAAAACACCAGAAGCUUAUGUGGAGAUGCAGAGGACAGGAGCUCAGGAGACAAGGGACACAAAAAGCACAGGAGAUUACGACAGGACAUAAGACAGACAUUUAGACAACGAACCGACAAGGACAAGGGGAAGCACAGACACUUAUAUACACACAGGGAAGGCAGGGGCAAUUGAACACAGGUGAAACACAUGAGGACUGGUGCAGACAAUCACAGAGACAGGAAGUGAAGAAAACACACUAGGAACAGAGCCCUACAAAAUAAAACAGGAAACAGAACACAGGGGAAACAUGCGACACCGAAACAAAGCAUAUACAAACAUAAACACAAGGAUAUACAAGAAACACAAGGUAAUAAUUAAACAGAAAACACUCUUAAUAAAGAG